UUGCUUAGUGUGUUUAAUAAAUAAAUAAAGUGACUAUGCUAAUCUGUAUCUAAAUAAAACUUAAGCAUGGAUAUGAUGAAUAGUUGCUCUGCCUAAUAUGCAAAUUUUAAGUUCUCUCUCAAGUUUAGAUAUAACUGUUAUAAUUUAAAGCUUGCUCUAGACCUAAACCUGUGGGAUGAAAACUUGAUCUAAAGUCUAAGUUGUUAACGGAUACGAUAUAGGAAGGUUGAGCUGCUGUUUAUCUGUUCCUAGAGAUGCUAGAAUUCUGGAGAAUUUUAUCUUUGAAAAUCUUUAAAAUGUUGCAUGAUAUGUUCCUGUAUGAUGAGAGUUUAAAUUCCUACCACAGCCAUAUAUACAUGCUUAUUAGACUUUGAGCCACACAUUUACUAUUUACUGCUUAUGAGCAUUGAGUGUGGUCAAGCUGUGUAGACCCUUAGGAGCUUAUCAUGUGGUUAAAUCAAGAUUCACUUGCACGUUCACUCAUAUAUGCUACUUCUACUCCAGAAGUACCAUCCAUAUAUAUCCAUCCAUUUCCAUCUCCAGAACCACCUAAAAAUAUUCUACUCCUAAUCCGGGAGAGAAUAACCAAAAAUAUUUCUGUUUUUCCCUUGUGAAAUAAAUGCUCAAGUUAUCUUGUUACUACCACUUGCUAUCUUAUCUCAAGAGAUGAGUGUUCUAGAAAAAAAAGAAAAAAAAGAAGAAAGAAGAAAAAAAAUACGAGGAAAUAAAAAGGAGCAAGUGCUCGGAACCUCGAAGGAAAAGAAAAAGUGAGACGAGAGGUAAAAAUAGACAAGUGUCCGACAGUAGAAUUAGGGGUACAAGAUGCCCACCUGAGAGAAAAAAAAGAAGAGCAUCUCAUUCUCCUCAUAAAGUUUCUAAAGCAAGGAAGGUAUGUAUCCCCUCAAAGAGCAAAGUAGAAUUAGACUUCCACCACCAUUGUUUUCACCAUUGUUAUCACCAUCAUCACCAUACAUCAUUCAUUCGCCACACAUGCACAUCUUGAUUUGGCUUAUUGAUUUGUUUCUUUGGAUCCAUGGUUUGACUAUGCAAUAAAUGUCUUGUAAGUAUGUAUACUUUAUCUCCCACCUAUGAGCUCCAGAUAUUAAAGCCUUAUUAGUGUAGGGUGAGAGAGAAGGCAAUGUCACUAUGCCUUAUACCACAAAUACCACAUAUCUUGAGAGAAGGCAUAUACCAUCACUGCCUUGGUAAGGAUCCAGAAAUACCACAAAAGAGAGAUCUGAGAGAAUCAUACAAGGAAUCUCUGAGUUUUAUUUGAAAAUCUGCAAAAAACCCCAGAGCUAUAGCUGAUCAAGAAUAAGAGACAUGGCACUUGGCUAGACUGUUCUAUCUUUUAACUACUCAAGACAGAAGUGACAGUUACAAGUCCCAUGGUGAAGGUAAAGUAAGUAAGUUUUAAGUCUUGACAGUUUACUCUAACUCAGAGAUGAGAUCUUAUUUAAAAGCAUGUGUACCGUCAAUUUUUAAAGAUAUUGCAACAACUUAUGAUCCAUAGCUGAGUCUAUCCUUGCUCAGGGACGAGCAAGAGGUAAGCUUGGGGGAGUUUGUUGACGGUCCUUAAGUAUCAAAUUUAAUUAUCAAAUAAAUAAAGAAAAGGAUCCAAAUGAAAUCAACAUCUAGACUUAGGGUUUUAUCUGACAGAAUUCCACGAGUUUUGGUGUUUGUCUAUUUCUGUAGGGGGUUAUCAGGAAAUACGGAAGAAAGGCCCACACGUCGGGAUUACGUAAAGAUAUUAACGUGCCGCGCAAUUAUCUUACAUCUAGAAGACUCCAGAAGCCACGAGACCGAAGCGGAGGCGAAACGGGGCCUGACCCUGGGUGGCCGCCCAGUUGGUCAGGGCGCCCGCCCUGCCCCUGAGUCCAAUCAGGACUCUGCUUUGCGGGAGGUUUCCACCGACCUAAAGGAUGAAUCUAAACCAUACAAUCUAUGUCAGUUUGAUCCAACGGCCCGUAUUCACUUGAAGGGACUAUAAAACCAGACCCCCUGGCCCCUGGAGGAGAGAGCCUCUCAACCCUAAUUCAUUGUUCCAUCAAGGGAGAAGAAGCCUCUGAUCAAGAUUAGAGCCACCACAUCAAUUAGAUAUCUAGAUUAGCAUAGCUACAUAGGAUUAGAACUAGAAGGAGUCAAUCUUCGAUUGGUUUCCGGAUCUGUCAGGAGGAUUCUUGGUAAUUCUCUAAUUGUGCUUCUAAUUGCUUUCUAAUUAUCUUUGUUCUUCAAUAUUAUGAAUAUGACUUUGUUCUACUUCAAUAUAUUGCUUAUGACUUUGCUCUACUUGCUUAUAUUCAAGAUUAUAUUGUUCUUAGUUUAUCAUAGUUAUGUACUUGGCUUAGUUAGAUUGGAUCUAUAUACAUGCUUAGGAUCGUAUAGCGUUUAUCCAUCGGAUCCAUGGGUAAAUGAUAGAUAUUGUGUAGGCGUGGUGCUUAUACCGUAUUUAUCUGCGAUUGUACCCAAUAUGCCAGAUCGUGGGGUGGUUCGUGAUAGUGACAGCUUCAUUGAUUCUUAUAUAGUCCCCCUCUCGUGUAUUGGGCUGGCAGAGCAACAUUAUUACAGGGGAGUGAUUGCUAUGUUUCUCAUAUUCCUUGCUAAUAUCACUAUGCAUGGGCGUAGUCUUGUCUCACAAUGAUUGCUAAGUAUGCUUGCACUAAUUAUGAUAAUGCUAGACUAUAUAGUUGAGAAUAACUUAGGGAAUAUUCUUGUAGUUCGUUCUAAUACCAUGCUAAAGACUUUCUAGAGUAUCUAAUUGAGGUGCUUAUCAUAUUUAUUAUGUGGCUAGAUCAGAUUAAUUAUCCUUGUCACUAUUAUUAUCUCAUAUAUCCUUUAUGUGACACUUAUCCCUGUAUGAAGAGUUAGAUAUAAUGUUCUCAAUUAUACAUGCAAUGAUAGAUGCUCAAUCUCAUAUUCUAUUCUGUAAUCAAUAUUGAUGAUUGCUAAUCCCUUCCCAGUGGUAAAAAUAUAAAUAACGAUACCUGGAAUACUUCCCGGUUAAAAUGCUGCAUCGGUAUUAAUCUGUGCGCUUGCAGACCCCAUUCAUUAUUUAUUUAGAAGAGCAAUUGCAUAUUUCAAUACCGCGUCUCUUAUAUCAUGCUGGGGAUGACAACUUGGCUUAAGUGGUGUGAGGGAUAGGUUUGGCAUUUUUGGCACCGUUACUAGAUUUAGAGAACUUAGUCUACUUUUGGUAAUGAUGUUAAGAAUACCCAACAGUACCAAUCCUCAGCAAGCUUAUCCACAACAAUGCUAUCAGGGACAGUCAACCCUGGUCAAUCGUAACCAGUAGCCACAGCGUGCACAGCAGCAGCAGCAGUACAAAGCUCCUAACCAACGUCAGCAGCCAGUCAAUAAUGCUCCCGUGAAGACAAAUGUUCCCAAUGCUCCACCAAAGAAUGGUGCACCAAAAGCACCAAAUGCCAACAAUGAUAACAAAUGUUAUAGCUGUGGUGAGCCGGGACAUUACUCCAAUAGGUGCCCCAAGAAGAUGGCCCAAAACAAUAUCAGAGGCAGGGUAAAUCAUGUGACAGCCGAGGCGGCACAAGAGGCACCGGACGUGAUGCUCGGUAUGUUUCCAGUUAACUCAAGCCCUGCUACAGUUUUAUUCGAUUCCGGUGCAUCACAUUCCUUUAUUGCUCAGUCAUUUGUCAAGAAAUAUGAUAUACCCAUGAUUGCUAUGAAAAAUUCCAUGAUAGUUAGCUCACCUGGAGCAGAAAUGCAAGCUACCCUUAGAUGCCCUCUAGUAAACAUCACCUUACGGGGGGUAGAGUUUACAGUUAGCCCAGUGGUUUUGAAAACUUCUGGUAUUGAUGUUAUCUUGGGUAUGGAAUGGUUGAAACAGAGAAAGGCAGUUAUACAAUGUGAUAGCAAAACAGUUCAGUUAAUGACACCUUCAGGACAGCAAAUUGAGAUAGAGGUUAGUAUGUCAGCUAAACAAUACUACACAGUUAAUCAACUGAAGGGGACAUCAAUAGAAGACAUAUGGAUAGUGAAUGAGUAUCCGGACGUAUUCCCUGAGGAACUGCCAGGUAUGCCACCUGACCGUGACAUUGAGUUUAUAAUUGAACUUUUACCUGGAACUGCAACCAUGGCUAAAAGACCAUAUAGAAUGGGAGUGAAUGAAUUAGCAAAACUUAAGAAGCAAUUAAGAGAAUUGCUAGAUAAGGGUUAUGUUCAACCAAGUUCCUCACCUUGGGGAGCACCAGUGUUAUUCGUAGAAAAGAAAGAUGGGACACAAAGAAUGUGUAUAGAUUACAGAUCGCUUAAUGAGGUUACAAUUAAGAACAAGUAUCCACUCCCUAGAAUCGAUGACCUGUUUGACCAGUUGAAAGGAGCUUGUGUGUUUUCUAAGAUAGACCUUCGGUCUGGUUAUCAUCAGUUAAGGAUAAGACGAUCUGAUAUCCUUAAAACUGCUUUUGUGACUCGAUACGGACUAUAUGAGUUUACAGUCAUGUCCUUUGGUUUGACAAAUGCACCUGCCUACUUUAUGUAUUUGAUGAACAAAGUAUUCAUGGAAUACCUUGAUAAGUUUGUGGUUGUGUUCAUUGAUGACAUACUUGUUUUCUCUAAGAAUGAGAUAGAACAUGAGAAACACUUGAGAUUGGUGCUGCAAAAGCUUAGAGAACAUCAACUUUAUGCUAAGCUUAGUAAGUGUGAAUUUUGGUUAAAAGAGGUAUCUUUCCUUGGGCACAUCAUCUCUAACGGAGGGGUAGCAGUGGACCCGAAAAUGGUUCAGGAUGUGCUAAGCUGGAAGCCACCUAAAGAUGUGAGUGAAAUUAGGAGUUUCCUUGGAAUGGCUGGGUACUAUAGAAGAUUCAUUGAGGGUUUCUCUAAGUUAGCCAAACCAAUGACUGCUCUGUUAGAAAAAAAUGCUAAAUUUAUAUGGUCUAAAGAGUGCCAGGCUAGUUUCGAAGAGUUAAAAAAGAGACUGACUUCUGCCCCUGUACUCAUUUUACCUGACAUCACUAAGAGUUUCUCUAUCUACUGUGAUGCCUCUCGGCAAGGUCUUGGUUAUGUGCUGAUGCAGGAAGGCAGAGUUGUGGCCUAUGCCUCUAGACAGUUGAGGAAACACGAGUUAAACUACCCGACCCAUGAUUUGGAGUUAGCGGCCGUGGUGCACGCUCUGAAAAUAUGGAGGCACUAUCUAAUUGGUCAUAAAUGUGAGAUUUAUAAAGAUCAUAAGAGUUUGAAAUAUAUCUUCACCUAGUCUGAUUUGAACUUAAGGCAACGAAGGUGGUUGGAACUGAUUAAGGAUUAUGACCUGGAAGUACACUAUCAUCCGGGUAAAGCUAAUGUAGUGGCAGAUGCCCUGAGUAGAAAGAGCUAUGUUAAUAUGGCUUAUGUGACUCAGUUACCUAGGGAGUUGUGUGAAGAGUUUGAACAGCUGAACUUGAGUAUAGUAGCUAACACUAUGGGAUUGGAGGUGGAACCCACACUAGAACAAGAUAUCCGUAAAGGACAACUGGAAGAUGAGAAAAUUAAAGAUAUUGCUGAACGGAUAGUGAUCGGUAAGGCACCAGGUUUUCACAUGGAUGACCAGGGAAUAGUAUGGUUCGGUAAGAGGAUUUGUGUACCCUAGAUAAAGUCUAUUAGAGAGACUAUUCUGAGAGAAGCUCAUGACUCAGCCUAUUCUAUACACCCGGGUAGCACUAAAAUGUACCUCGACCUUAAAGAAAGAUAUUGGUGGUAUGGCUUGAAAAGAGAUGUAGCAGAAUAUGUGGCUAUAUGUGAUACGUGCCAAAGAGUAAAAGCAGAACACCAGAGACCAGCAGGAUUACUUCAACCCAUGAAAAUACCUGAGUGGAAGUGGGAAGAAGUUGGAAUGGAUUUCAUAGUGGGACUACCUCGAACACAGAAAGGAUACAAUUCUAUCUAGGUUAUUGUAGAUCGAUUAACCAAGGUAGCUCACUUCAUUCCUGUCAAGACUACCUAUUCCGGGGCAAAGUUGGCAGAAUUGUACAUGGAAAGGAUUGUGUGUUUACAUGGGGUGCCAAAGAAAAUUGUUUCUGAUAGAGGGACACAGUUUACAUCACACUUUUGGCAGAAACUACACGAGUCCAUGGAUACAAAAUUGAAUUUUAGUUCGGCCUACCAUCCUCAAACAGAUGGGCAGUCAGAAAGAACAAAUCAGAUACUAGAAGAUAUGUUGAGAGCUUGUGCCCUGCAGUACGGGACAAGUUGAGACAAAAGUUUUCCUUAUGCUGAGUUCUCCUAUAAUAAUAGCUAUCAGAAGAGUCUCAAAAUGGCACCUUUUGAGGUAUUAUAUGGCAGGAAAUGCAGGACACCACUGUUUUGGAGUCAAACUGGGGAAAGUCAAGUUUUUGGGCCAGAGAUUUUGCAAGAAGCAGAGAAACAGGUGCACACAGUAAGACAGAACUUGAAAAUAGCACAAUCUCGACAGAAAAGUUAUGCAGACACAAGGAGAAGGGAUUUGGAAAUUCAGAUAGGAGAUUAUGUGUAUCUCAAGGUCUCACCUAUGAGAGGAGUCAAGAGAUUUCAUACCAAGGGGAAGUUGUCUCCUAGGUAUGUAGGUCCCUUUAAGAUCAUUGCUAGGAGAGGAGAAGUAGCCUAUCAACUGGAGUUACCUGAACAACUCUCUAGUGUUCACAAUGUCUUCCAUGUGUCACAGCUUAAGAAAUGUCUGAGAAUACCCGAAGAACAGUUACCUCUAGAAGAGCUUGAUGUUCAAAAAGAUCUUUCCUAUAAAGAAUAUCCUGUAAGAAUUUUGGAGACAACAGAAAGAAUCACCAGGAGCAAAGUCAUAAGAAUGUGCAAAGUACAGUGGAACAGGCAUUCUAAAGAUGAAGCAACAUGGGAAAGAGAGGAUGAUUUGAGAUCUGAGUACCCUUAUCUUUUUGAGCCAUCCGAAUCUCGAGGACGAGAUUCAUCCUAAGGGGGGUAGGUUUGUAACACCCUAAAAAUUAAUUUUCAAAUUAGUAUUUAAUUUGGCAUAAUUAUAGGAAUUAUUUGAGAAUUGUUUAGGCAAAAUAACAAUUUUUGGAAUUAUUUAAAAUAAACUAUAAGGUCUAGAAACAUGAAAUGCUGCAUUCAUGCUGGUGCAUAAUAUUUUGAUUGUUUGUAAGACUAGGUUGUUUGUUUUAAAAAUCAAUUUGAUAGAAAUUUAUACAAAUUUACAGCUCUGAAAAAUAUAAAAGAGUUUUUCUUUUAUUUUAUUCCCUUCAUCGAAUCUGGCCCAGCCCCAAACCCUGGCCCAACACACCCCGCGCUCACCCCUGGCCUUGGGCCGUUGGCGGCCUAGUGGCGCGGCCUGCUCCGCGUGGACAGCCCGCGCGCCUCCCCUUUCCCCCUCUCACUGUGCAGUAGGGCCCGCCUGUCGGCGCUCUUUUCCCCCUCUCUCUCUCUCGCUGCACCGUGGGGCCCGCACGUCAGCGUCUUCCCCCUUCUUCUCCACCGAGCCGGGAACAUUGCAAUGGGCAUUCAUCCCCUUCUUCAAACGCCGAUUGAUGGAGGCCAUCAAUCGGGGCUCCAUCAAGCCUCUUGACGCUGGGAGAACGCCCGCAUGCGCGCCCCCUCGACGCCCCUGCUCGCCCUAUAAAACCCCAGGCCGAGGCCCCUUUGCUGCCCCUAGCCACCACCGGAGCACGGUUUCUCUCCCCCACCUCGGUUUCCCCUUGCUCGAGCGACCCAAAGCCCGGAGAGUGCCCUGGGAGCUUGGUUGGGACUCGCCGCGACCGUAGGCACCUAUCUCACCUUUGUUUUGAUCUUGUAUGCCAUGAAUUUGAUCUCACCGAUGUUUUCUUCUCUCUCCAGUCCGCCCCGACCGUGGUCAAGCCGCUCGGAGCUUUUCCGGACGCCGCGAACGCCUCGAACGGAACCUCGGUAUCCCCUCGAUGCUCCCCGUGCCUUUAAUCGCAAGUUUAGAGCGCUCUAACACCGAACCCGAGCCUUCCGAGGGCGCGGCAAUGGCGCCACCGUGGGGCCGUCGUCUCGACGUGCUCCCCGCCCUUUCUUUGUGCCCUAUCGUGUUCGCCUCGUCGCGCUGGUCGUUGUGGUAGCGUUAUUUUUGUUUAGAGUGGCCGGGAACGAGAUUCCGGCGAGCUCCGAGGAGCUCACCUCGUCGGCGACAAUGGCGCCGCCGUGGUCGGCCUCGGCUCAGGCGAGCGCCCCGCUGCCCUUCUUCCUGAGCCGUCUGAUCAGAUUCCAACGGCCUAGAUUACAUACCCCUUCGGGGUUAUGUAACCGGUCCACCGUGGACCAUGGACGCGGUCCACGGGUGCUCGGUCGGCCGGUCCACGCGCACAGUGGUGGACCGAGCCAACCCCAGCACGCCACUAUUGACGGUCCUUAAGUAUCAAAUUUAAUUAUCAAAUAAACAAAGAAAAGGAUCCAAAUGAAAUCAACAUCUAGACUUAGGGUUUUAUCUGACAGAAUUCCACGAGUUUUGGUGUUUGUCUAUUUCUGCAGGGGGUUAUCAGAAAAUACGAAAGAAAGGCCCACACGUCGGGAUUACAUAGAGAAAUUAACGUGCCGUGCAAUUAUCUUAAAUCUAGAAGACUCCACAAGCCACGGGAAGGAAGCGGAGGCCGAGAGGGGCUAGAGGCAGGGCGCCCGCCCUGUUUCCCUGGGCGCCCGCCCACCUCUGGAGCCCAAUCGGGACUCUUUCUCUCGGGAGAACUCCACCGACCUAAAGGAUCAAGGAUAACCGUUCAAUCUAUGUCGGUUUGAUCCAACGACCCAUAUUCACUUGAGGGGACUAUAAAACCAGAUCCCCUGACCCCUGGAGGAGGCACCCCUUGAUCAUUAUUCAUUAUUCAUAGACAGAGCAAAAGCUAGGGUUUAGAGAUGAGAGCUCUCCUCUCUUCUCUACACUAGAGUAGAUCUAGAUAGUAGCAAGAUGCAGAGCGAAGGAGGAUUAGAGGAGAGGUCGGCCUGUCGGUUCUUCCUCCGGUUGUACUUCGUCAUGAUCAAGCUCUAAUCAAGCUUGCUCAUGGGAUGACUCUGGUAAUCUACUUCUAAUUCAUUAUGCAAUUACUAAUUAUGUAUGUUCUGGUUCACAACUCUUUUGAGUACUUCUAAUCUAUAGGACGCUAUAGGUUAGAGUUGUAGUAUAGGUGUAAGCGUGGUGCUUAGACCUAGAUUACUUGUGGAUAUCCCCUGUCUAGCUGGAUCGUGUGGUAGGCCGCGUAGGUGACAGUUACGGUGGUCCUCUGUAGUCCACCUCUCGUUAGCAGGACAGGUAGGGUUUAUCGGCCUAUGGAUAAGCAUCCUUUGUGGUGUAAUCUUAUCACGUGGUUCGUCCCAGACAUAGACAUACCCCUUUGAAGUAGAGAAGCCAUAGUUAUUCUCUCUAUUCUGCUACCAUCACCCAUAUACUAGAUUGCUCUACUCUCUAUUCCCAUAUUAUCACUCACUGUUAUCUUGCCUUUAAUAUUGUUCUUAUUCGAUUCUACCAUCUUUCCUAUUUACACCUAUCUAUUUACCUUGGUUAAGUUAGAGCGUAGUUGGUUCUCCCGUUUCCCUGUGGAUACGACAAAACCUUUAACCGGGUAAAAGCUUCAACGGUAUCCGUGCGCUUGCGGAUUAUCUAUGUGCGUAUAAAUACCAUAGUACACUCUUGUGCCAUGCUGGGGAUGACAACAUAGUAUUCAAGUGGUGUUAGCAAGUGUCAACAAGCAUUUUUGGCGCCGUUGCCGGGGAAACGGUUGCUGAGUUGACUACGAACUAGCUUAAUCAUUUUCUAAAAAAAAAUAAAAAAAUAUUUUAUUUUUAUCCUUUGCCUCAUCUCUGCUAUUCUUUCGUCUUAUCUAAUCCUUGAUCUCUGGUCUAUCAUGAAUUCAAACAUGUCUAUCUAUGAAUUUCAUAGACCUACUUGCACACAUCUCGAACCACCAAAAUCUUCAAAGCCUAUCAUAGCAUCUAGUUUUGAGAUAGACCCUGAAUACAUAGAAUUUGUUCAAAAACAACCUUUCUCAGGAGAAGGUGAGGAAAACCCAUAUACACACCUAAGAGAGUUUUAUAGAGUCUGUGACCUCCUUCGCAUAGAAGGCAUGUCCGAUGAGACCCUUAAAUGGAAGCUCUUUCCGUUCUCUUUAAUGGGAAAAGCUAGACAUUGGUAUAAACUCAAAGUAGGGAGUGUUCAUGGAGAUUGGAAGGAGUUACAUAGUAGUUUUCUUUCUAAAUAUUUUCCAAUCUCCAAAGUGGUGGAACUUCGGCGUGAGAUUCUUUCUUUUUGACAACUCGAAGAAGAAUCUCUUGGCAAAUCAUGGGACCACUUUAUUAACCUUACUCUCACUGGCCCAAAGCUUUCUAUUCCAAAAGAAGUUCUUCUAAUUCACUUUUUUGAGGGCCUUAGUGGGGAAAAUAAGCAAACCCUUCAUGCAGCCUCUGGAGGAUCUUUCCACCACCUAUCCGCUAGUGAAGCUUGGAAUUUGAUUGAUUUAAUGAGCGGAAAGUCUCCUAGCUUUUAUAUCCCUGAGAAAGAGACAGAACCAGUUCCUAGACAAGAAGAAGAAGUUUUGAUAGCCAGAUCACAACCACUUCAAUUCCAAACUUUAGCUAUCGAUCCUAAACCAUCAAUACCCCAAAAUUCUCCAAGGGAGGAAGGAAUUCCGACCUUAAAUCUUUCAGAUGCUGAUGGUUUAGACUUCUGGUUCCAUAAGAGACCUUCAAGCAGGGAUAAUUCAAAUCCUCGCAAUAAUGGUUCUCUUAGAGAAUGUCCUGGUUCCUGUUAUGAAGAAGUCGAGGAUGACAUAUCAAGUGAAGGAGAGUAAGCCAUAUUGAAAAUUCUAACACCUCCCCUUUCCUGAUCACAAGUUCUAAAUGGCUAGAAUGUGUAGAAUGGAUGGAUAAGGAAGAAGCCUUAAUGAAUUCUGACUUUGGCUCAAUUUCAAAUGAUGAGUUCUUGACUCCCUUUGAAGAUGAGAUUCAUCCAACUACAGAAGAGGACAUAGGUGAGACCAAUCCAGGAGAAACUCCAAAUAUUCAGAUUGGAGACGAAGAUAACAUUAAUGAGCAUGGAAUUUAUUUCAUAGCCACUUCAUUCACUCCAUGCUCAUAUGCAACAUCUUCCCAAUCUAUUGGUCUCUCCAACUUCACCACAUUUGAGAUCUCCAACCCCCUCUUCCUUUCUAUUUAUAAAAACUUUAAAAGGGCGGUUGUCGAUGCAUAUGUUUAUAAUAAAUAUUGCAGAUCUCGUUGAGUUGAUCUUGAUUUAGGUCAGCGUUGGAAGGGAAACCACUUCGCCGACAUAAAUUGAUGGUUUCCCAAGGACAAGCUUGGUGUCCUAAAAUAAGCACUGAUCAGAUCAUAACAUGAGUUUUUAAUUAUUUGCAACAUUACCUUGUGUAUUGAGCAUAUAAGGAUAAUUGUAAAAAUAUUCCUUCGGGUAUUCUUGUCACUAACCUUUCCAGGAUUGGAACAAGAAGAUCAGAUGAAUGACAAGCAAGUACAAGGUAUGUCCAACCAAUCAUCAUGCAACACCGAAUUAAAUUCAUCCAAACUUGAAUUCUGCAAAAUUCAAGCUUGGGGGAGUACUUUACAUAAAAACAUCCUUUGCCUUGUUGCUAUGUUGGUUCUCCCUACCUUUAAGACAUGCUCAGUUUGUUAAAUACUAAUCACACUACUUCAUCUCCACUUAAGUAGAUCUCUAUAAAUGCUGUCAUGCUACCUUUGUCUAUUUACUAGUAAGUGUUAGUUUGGAAGUACUGCACAUACUUCUAUUGGCUUUUAAAUUAAGCAUGGUGCUUAGGUUAAACAACCUUCCUUAAUCUGAUUAGACAUGGAGUCUAGUUCGGUUAUUGAACUAAAAACUACUUGUGUAGACAUUGGUAUAUUUUUGUCGGACUAACCCCUGCAGAGAAACUUUCAAUAUCGAUUUGGGAAGUCCUGAGAUAAACUCACAUCAGAGACGAAGAGAGUGACACAUGAAGUUUAACAAUUUGCACAAGAAGGACAUAUCUCAUUCAUCAUAGAGAGAUGAUCCAUGGAGGGUGCCACAAACACGAUGCACAACCGCUAAGAAAGGAAAGCUUCCACAAGGUGAUACUGUACCAUCACUCUUCAAGCAAGGUAACAUCUUAAGGUACUUGACUAUCACUUUUAUAAGCUUCUCCUUGGUUUUGGCGUUCAUAUAAAUAAAAGAGACAAACAUGUAUGAUUUACAACUCUAGAUUAACCAACCCAACUGAUUCAACAUGUUUAGUCCUUUAAUCCUUGUUCUUAGUACUACCUCCAUGAUCCCACACUCCUAAUCAUAUGAGCUAAAAUGUUACACAUUCAAUCUUUGAGAGAUAUAAAGAAAAAGACAUAUACAUAUAUAGAUUAUCUUUCCAUAAGGUUGAGUGAUCUGAUCUGACAAAUGUUAUAAGUGCUGCACUCAUGAACUUUUCAUCCAUCAACUUUGUCUUGCUCACUAUGCUUAGGGUUAGAGAAGAACAAAUACACUUUAGGUUCUGUUGGUGUUUUCCACCAACAGGACCCAUGCACUUGAUCUCUGCCUUGUCUCUAUGAGUAGGUACACUUCGAGCAAAACACGGAGGAGUUUUAUAACUCUCAGACUCUACCAAGUGAAGGACCUGGAUCUACGAGCACAAACACACUGAGCAAGACACUGCCAACGCCGCACUUCAAACUGCUGGGCAAACGAAAAGGUGCAGAUGUAAAGGUCCGCACCUGAAUCAAAUGACGCACCUAAAGAAUGAACACAGUGAGAAGUCUUGUUUAGAAGACUUAAAACAUUGAACCCUCGCCGAAAGGUAAGAUCGGUAGUUAUCCAUAUUUAUCCUUUCUGCAUUCCCUUUUCCCUUUAAUUAAUUACUUUCCUUAAAUAGAUUAUUAGUUAAUCAUGCUAUCUUGAAAAGAAAAUAAAAAUGUUAAAAAAUACUAAGCCCCAUGUGAGUAUACGAGUGGCAUAAAACCCAUAAGUACCUUCACUGUGGUGGCAUAAAAAUAAAAUAAAUAUUUCUUUUCUCCUUUAUAAAAUAAAAAUAUAAAAAUAGGGAGUAAUAUUUAUUGAGGGAGCUCAACAUGAUAAAGGCUAGAUAUUUAUGCUAACACUUAAUCAGUUCCACAAGCUUUGUUGUCUAUUUGAGCUCCAGAGGAUUUAAGAAUCAAGAAGACUAGCAGACGGAGGACAUUCUAAUCGCGGUCAGAAUGCUGCUGACUUUCAAAUACACCUCUGCCACCUGCUAGCUACAUCAAGACAAAUUACGUCAAAAUUCAGCUUGGGGGAGAGCACCCCCAUUUAUCUCGCUAAGUAUUUUUACCUAUCUUUAUACUUAUAUUAUGUUAGAAUAUUAAAAUACAUAAACUAUGAAAAACCAAAUAAAUAUUUUGUGCUUAUAUAUAUAUAUAUCUUUUGCUUAGUGUGUUUAAUAAAUAAAUAAAGUGGCUAUGCUAAUCUGAAUCUUAAUAAUAAAACUCUAGCAUGGAUAUGAUGAAUAGUUGCUCUGCCUAAUUUGCAAAUUUGAAGUUCUCUCUCAAGUUUAGACAUAACUGUUAUAAUUUAAAGCUUGCUCUAGAUCUAAACUUGUGGGAUAAAAACUUGAUCUGAAGUCUAAGUUGUUAACGGAUAUGAUAUGGGAAGGUUGAGCUGCUGUUUAUCUGUUCCUAGAGAUGCUAGAAUUUUAUCUUUGAAAAAUCUUUAAAAUAUUGCAUGAUGAGUUCCUGUAUGAUGAGAGUUUAAAUUCCUACCACAGCCAUAUAUACAUGCUUGCUAGACUUUGAGCCACACAUUUACUAUUUACUGCUUAUGAGCAUUGAGUGUGGUCAAGCUGUGUAGACCCUUAGGAGCUUGUCAUGUGGUUAAAUCAAGAUUCACUUGCACGUUCACUCAUAUAUGCUACUUCUACUCCGGAAGUACCAUCCACAUAUAUCCAUCCUUGUCCAUCUCCAGAACCACCCAAAAAUAUUCUACUCCUAAUCCGGGAGAGAAUAGCUAAAAAUAUUUCUGUUUUCCCUUGUGAAAUAAAUGCUCAAGUUAUCUUGCUACUACCACUUGCUACAUUAUCUCAAGAGAUGAGUGCUCUGAAAGAAAAAGAAAAGAAAAGAAAAAAAAUAAACGAGGAAAUAAAAAGGGGCAAGUGCCCGGAACCUCGAAAGAAAGAAAAAGUGAGACGAGAGGUAAAAAUGGACAAGUGUCCGACAGUAGAAUUAGGGGUACAAGAUACCCACGUGAGAGGAAAGAAAAAGAAGAGCAUCUCAUUCUCCUCAUAAAGUUUUAAAAAGCAAGGAAGGUAUGUAUCCCCUCAAAAGAGCAAAAGUAGAAUUAGACUUUCACCAUUGUUAUCACCAUCAUCACCAUACACCAUUCAUUCGCCACACAUGCACAUCUUGAUUUGGCUUAUUGAUUUGUUUCUUUGGAUCCAUGGUUUGACUAUACAAUAAAUAUCUUGUAAGUAUGUAUACUUUAUCUCCCACCUAUGAGCUCCAGAUAUUAAAGCCUUAUUAGAGUAGGGUGAGAGAGAAGGCGAUGUCACUAUGCCUUAUACCACAAAUACCACAUAUCUUGAGAGAAGGCAUAUACCAUCACUGCCUUGGUAAGGAUCCAGAAAUACCACAGAAGAGAGAUUUAGAGAGUCAUACAAGGAAUCUCUGAGUUUUAUUUGAAAAUCUGCAAAAACUCCAGAGCUAUAGCUGAUCAAGAAUAAGAGACAUGGCACUUGGCUAGACUGUUCUAUCUUUUAACUACUCAAGACAGAAGUGACGGUUACAAGUCCCAUGGUGAAAGGUAAAGUAAGUAAGUUUUAGUUCUUGACAGUUUACUCUAACUCAGAGAUGAGAUCUUAUUUAAAAGCAUGUGUACCGUCAAAUUUUUAAGAUAUUGCAACAACUUCUGAUCCAUUGCUGAGUCUAUCCUUGCUCAGGGACGAGCAAGAGGUAAGCUUGGGGGAGUUUGUUGACGGACCUUAAGUAUCAAAUUUAAUUAACAAAUAAACAAAGAAAAGGAUCCAAAUGAAAUCAACAUCUAGACUUAGGGUUUUAUCUGACAGAAUUCCACGAGUUUUGGUGUUUGUCUAUUUCUGCAGGGGGUUAUCAGGAAAUACGGAAGAAAGGCCCACACGUCGGGAUUACAUAGAGAUAUUAACGUGUCGCGCAAUUAUCUUACAUCUAGAAGACUCUAGAAGCCACGGGAAGGAAGCGGAGGCCGAGAGGGGCCAGAGGCAGGGCGCCCGCCCACCUCUGGAGCCCAAUCGGGACUCUUUCUCUCGGGAGAACUCCACCGACCUAAAGGAUCAAGGAUAACCGUUCAAUCUAUGUCGGUUUAAUCCAACGGCCCAUAUUCAUUUGAGGGGACUAUAAAACUAGACCCCCUGACCCCUGGAGGAGGCACCCCUUGAUCAUUAUUCAUUUUUCAUAGAUAGAGCAAAAGCUAGGGUUUAGAGAUGAGAGCUCUCCUCUCUUCUCUACACUAGAGUAGAUCUAGAUAGUAGCAAGAUGGAGAGCGAAGGAGGAUUAGAGGAGAGGCCGGCCUGUCGGUUCUUCCUCCGGUUGUACUUCGUCAUGAUCAUGCUCUAAUCAAGUGUCACCCAUAUUUUAAGAACAAAAUAGGAUGCAUAAAAGACUCAUAUGUGCCCCAGGAAUAGUCGCACACAUAAGUAGACAAAUCUCAAAUGUACCAUUGCAGUGUUUAUUACAUAGCGGAACAAUAAUAAAUCACAUAGUCUCAUACAAAGAUGAUAGCAUAGAGUAAACAACGCUCUCGACGGAAGCUUCACACAGGGACAGCAUUGCCUGGUUGACUCCAAACCUAGUACUCAUAACGAUAGUCCUCAUUCCAGUCAUCUUCAUUAUCAUAUCCUGAGGUGUUGGGAAAUUGCAAGAGUGAGCACAUAUCGUACUCAACAAGUAUAACUAGGGGCUCAUGAGGCUCAAAUAGCUGACACUGGUUUGACUGCAUUUAGCUUUUAAUAGUUGAUAGCAUGUUUAAUUAUUGAAUAGCAAAUGUCAAGGUAGCAUAAUAAAUUCCAUAACCACAUGAUCAAUGUAUACAAGAAUUAAGAAUAACACAUAUAAACAAUAUAAUAAACCAUCAUUUAUCAUCAUUAAUCAUGUUCGUCAGAGUCCAUCUAUUCCGUCAGUUUUCCGGGCCGCCCGUAUCCGUGGGCACGGCUAGUAUACCAGAUUUAACACUCUGCAGAGGUUGUACAUCUUUACCCAUGAGUCGUGAUUUACCCUUUCGCCCGAGGUGAUCAGCCUCUUAACCCACUACAAAGGAAGGUCGGCAGGGAUCACUAUGAAGUCUUUCAAAGGUUCGUCUAACAUGUUAGGGCCACAAGGUUUCCUUUGCGCGCAGAUAUAGAUACGCCC
Molecule: long non-coding RNA, 16269 nt
Filed under: Sorghum bicolor (sorghum)
Lineage: Eukaryota; Viridiplantae; Streptophyta; Magnoliopsida; Poales; Poaceae
Description: long non-coding RNA (SBIC_LNC013004)
Source: RNAcentral